GUGAAUCACUGAAGUGAUUUGAGACAGAUAUCAGGAUACUCAUGGCAAUACUAGGACUAUCAUUUUGACAGUAGCUUUUUAAAUUGGUUCUGGAUAUCUUACAUUUGAAUGGCGUACAUUCGUUUGAUUAUUUUUCUUAAACUUUUUAGGUAUUUCAGUGAAAAUUACACUAGUGAAGCUCAUCAGAUUCUUUCCCGUUCAAAUCAUCCAAAAUUAGGGUAUUCUUAUGCAAUAGUUGGAAUCAAUCUUACAGAGAUGGCUUAUAGCUUACUGAAGAGUGAAGCUUUGAAGUUUCAUCUCUAUAACUUUGUUCCUGGUAUACCAACAAUGGAACACUUUCAUCAGUUUUAUUGUUAUCUUGUCUAUGAAUUUGACAAGUUUUGGUUUGAAGAAGAACCAGAAAGCAUUAUGUAUUUCAACUUGUAUAGAGAGAAGUUUCAUGAAAAGAUUAAAGGACUUUUACUGGAUUGUAAUGUAGCACUUACUUUAAAAGUAUAAAUCAUCCACUGUAUCUUCUAUUUCUACCACAUUUUGCACAUUCAACAGAAUUUAUAUGUU
Molecule: small RNA, 558 nt
Filed under: Pongo abelii (Sumatran orangutan)
Lineage: Eukaryota; Metazoa; Chordata; Mammalia; Primates; Hominidae
Description: retained intron
Source: RNAcentral